This 617-nucleotide long non-coding RNA is filed under the name Dromaius novaehollandiae (emu). RNAcentral describes it as "lncRNA (ENSDNVG00000004685.1)". The record is from RNAcentral. Lineage: Eukaryota; Metazoa; Chordata; Aves; Casuariiformes; Dromaiidae.
GGCUGCGCGGCGCUCUGUGCCCUUCCUGGUGGUGGGGGGAGGGGAGAGGCAGUGUCGGAGCUGUUCUCCCAAGGGUGAGCAUCCAUCAGAGCAGAUUUUCUCAAAUGCUUUCUGCCCUGCUGUGUUUGCACUGAUUUGACCUGGCUUUGGAGGGAAAUUGAGAUGGACGUGCAGUGGAGCAUAAGGGGAAUGUCCCUAGGCUAGUGUGUCCGGGCCUGUCUCCUGUGCCUUGCCACAACAAAGAAGGAUGCCUCUUUUGAAUGCAAAGAAGUGUCUUGGCUUUGUCCAUCAUCAUGAAACUUGCUGAAGAACAGACUUCUGCGAUUCAUUUUAGAGAUGUAACAUUACAAUGCCACAAUCAAAAAAACCUGCAACUCUUGAAAGAGAGCAUGUAAGGGACCUGGUGUACUACAUGCAAAAAGGUGCAUUUCUUAGCUUUCAUUGAAAACCCACUAUUCUGAAGCUAAUAUAAACCUGAGUGGCCAAGCUCAGCUGAAAUGAGGUAAGUGCUUUGCAAAUUAACUUAAUCUUUAUCUAAAAAAAGGCUAAAUUCAUGAAGGAUCAAAGGUCAUCAUCAGCUCAUGGAAUUCACAUUUUAAAUCAAGGACAUAAUUUUC